AAAAAACUUUUUUGGCUAAAAGAACUGCCAGCAAACCUAAAAAAAGCGCUUUGGAACAGCAAAGUAAAAGGCACCAAAGUGGUUUACAAGACCACUUUUUGGGUUUACAAAAGUAAGUCAAAGGUGGUUUCAUCC
Molecule: small RNA, 135 nt
Filed under: Mycoplasmoides pneumoniae M129
Lineage: Bacteria; Bacillati; Mycoplasmatota; Mycoplasmoidales; Mycoplasmoidaceae
Description: Mycoplasma pneumoniae M129 ncRNA
Source: RNAcentral